GCAAAAAUCCCUCUUCUUCUUCUUCUCCUCUCCGAAUUCCUCUUAUCGCUCGAUGUGUUUGCAAAAAAAGGGAGGCCGACCAAAGGCGGUCGCUGCAAGACAAAUGCCGGCGUUAACCGAGCGAGCCAGGCGGGAAUGGUCAAAGCGUCCCAGUAGUAGUGGUCUGUCGGCUUCACACGACCCACAUGGUGGUUUAUGGCAUAUGGUGGUUUAGAGACCACUUCUUGAGAUACGUGGGGUUAUUCUGGGUUAUCCUCUGCGCGCGCGCCCGCCUAGGUAGGGGAUGGGAGGGGGGGUGAGGCUGCUCCAGGAAAAACAAGCUUUUUUUAUACUAAAAACAACAACAACAACAACUCCUGUAUUUUUCCAAGGAAUACAUUAGAUUCGUUCCGGGGCUAAGAGCGGAGCCUGGGAGAUCCAGGGGAAAUUAAUGUCGCGAUUCAAUUGGAUUCCAUCUCCCAAACGCAUAAGCUCGGUUGCUGUUUCUUUUUUUCUGCCCCGUUUGACUGGUGCCUUUUUACUCCUCGCGUAUCUGACACAUAGAAAUCCAACAGAAACAGCUGCCCUUGUAAGUUGCUGCUUGCUAGAGACUAAUAAUUCUUGGGUCUGUUCAGCCAUACCAAUCACAAAGAUUGCUGAGAUUAUCUGAUUCAUGUUACUAUUUGUUCAGAUUUCAGUAGAUUGCAACUCCAGGGUUAGCAGGGUGUGGUUAGAUACAAAUAACACAGCAUCAAGUUUGUUUUAAAGGUAUUAAUUUUGAUUCUGUCUUCAUUAUUGCUUACCGUGCUAAAUAAUAGGAUAAAGUGAAAGCACAUUUUUUGUAUGAAUAGUAGUCAUCCAUCUCUAAAGCCAACAGAAGAAAAAAAAUAUUUUUCCUUUCUUUUGUGUUGUUCAAGUACCUAG
Non-coding RNA from Pseudonaja textilis, 903 nucleotides. Lineage: Eukaryota; Metazoa; Chordata; Lepidosauria; Squamata; Elapidae. The record is from RefSeq and is a predicted model, not a curated record.